Oncorhynchus tshawytscha (Chinook salmon) is the source of this 372-nucleotide long non-coding RNA. The record is from Ensembl. NCBI's taxonomy places the organism in Eukaryota, Metazoa, Chordata, Actinopteri, Salmoniformes, Salmonidae.
GCAUUUUGGAUUAGACUAAAGUCACUUACAGUACAGGGCAGCACUUUAUUUAGCAUUCUUUUGAAUGAGACAUUCCAUACAUCAAUGUGACACAAGUUCUUGAUAGAUAUGACUCAAGGUGCAAAGGGUAAUACACGUGUCCCUCUCAGUAUUGGACUUCAUCAGGAACAAUAUGACAAUCCAUUGGAUGACAACCUGGCUGUAGCCAAUGAGGCGGCAGAGUCCCUGAUGACGUGGGGCUCUGCGUUGAUGAAUCUGGCAGAGGCUGUGGCACAAGCAGAGGAUAUGUCCUCCCGGUUUUGACCACUGCCUUACUCUGGACUACUUUCCCGCCUGCCUGAUCAUCCUGCCUGCCAAGACCUUGAAUCUGCC